CCAAUUACAGCCUCAUUGCAAGAUUGGCUGCUGAGCGAGGAAGGCUUUAUUCAGACUACAAAAAAGUGUCCUUAUUUGAGGAACGAUGUGGGAGAUGGACUGUUCUUACUGCUCUGCAAAAAGUAAAGGCAACCAGACAUUUCUGCAUGACCCAUAACUGCUUCUAGCUGAAGGAGUAGUAAAUGCAACAGGUGCAGUUACAAAGCGGAACGCCAUUGUGCCCUACAGGAGAGUCAGAAACCCCUGUUCUGCAAGAGAAGAGCAUGUUGCU
RNAcentral lists this long non-coding RNA (271 nucleotides) under Phasianus colchicus (ring-necked pheasant). RNAcentral describes it as "lncRNA (ENSPCLG00000008924.1)". The record is from RNAcentral. Lineage: Eukaryota; Metazoa; Chordata; Aves; Galliformes; Phasianidae.